CGCGUAGGCGGCCCGAUCAGUCCGCUGUAAAAGUCAACGGCUCAACUGUUGAAUGCCGGUGGAUACUGUCGGGCUAGAGUCCGGAAGAGGCAAGUGGAAUUCCUGGUGUAGCGGUGGAAUGCGCAGAUAUCAGGAGGAACACCCAUAGCGAAGGCAGCUUGCUGGGACGGUACUGACGCUAAGGCGCGAAAGCGUGGGGAGCGAACA
This 207-nucleotide ribosomal RNA is filed under the name uncultured bacterium. RNAcentral describes it as "partial 16S ribosomal RNA". It matches the Rfam family "Bacterial small subunit ribosomal RNA", at positions 568 to 774 of the family's 1533-position model. The record is from RNAcentral.